CCGGCCUGGGCCUGUUCUCUCUCAUGCUGCCCCAGUCCUUCAGUCCACACAGCCUCACCUUGCUGUUCUAACAAGACCAAAGGGAUUUUUUGGAUUUUUUUUCUUUUUCUUUUUUCCCUUGUCAGCAUUCCAUCUGGCUCACAGAUAAAAUUAGAGCUUCUUCAGAACCACAGUGAAUCAGCCAGCCUUAACAUAACUUCAGGAGAACAGAUCACAGCUCUGGUGAUCCUGUUCAUGCCAACCAACCAACCAACCAACCAGCCUACAGGAAGCAAGAGCAGAUGGAAUAAAUCG
Molecule: long non-coding RNA, 294 nt
Filed under: Corvus moneduloides (New Caledonian crow)
Lineage: Eukaryota; Metazoa; Chordata; Aves; Passeriformes; Corvidae
Description: lncRNA (ENSCMUG00000019580.1)
Source: RNAcentral